Molecule: ribosomal RNA, 254 nt
Filed under: uncultured bacterium
Lineage: Bacteria
Description: partial 16S ribosomal RNA
Rfam family: Bacterial small subunit ribosomal RNA
Source: RNAcentral
GACGAACCGUGCGAACGUUAUUCGGAAUCACUGGGCUUAAAGCGCGUGUAGGCGGGCGGGUACGUCGGCGACUGAAAGCCCCCGGCUCAACCGGGGAAGGGGUGCCGAAACGGCCGGCCUGGAGGGGCGUAGGGGGACCUGGAAUUCCCAGUGUAGAGGUGAAAUUCGUAGAUAUUGGGAAGAACACCGGUGGCGAAGGCGGCUCACUGGUCCGAUACUGACGCUGAGGUGCGAAAGCGUGGGGAGCAAACAGG